GUAGGAAAAGAUGGGAUUGUGCAAAUAAUUAGAAUUUCCUAUUGAUAUUCGGAAGUAAGAAAAUUUGACUUCGUUUAGAGGUUAAGAAAAUUUGACUUCGUUUAGAGGUUAUUAGAAAUGUUGCUAAAAUUGGUUCAUAUCUAUGCCAUUUUGGGUCUAAAACUAAAAUUUUAAUAGGGCUUUAGUACAUUGGAUAGAAGGGAGGGGGAUUCUUAGAUGUGCUAGCAUAACAUUAUGGAAUUAGUACUGUCAAUUAAGUUUGAAAUC
This 267-nucleotide long non-coding RNA is filed under the name Gossypium barbadense (sea-island cotton). RNAcentral's name for it is "long non-coding RNA (GBAR_LNC001042)". Lineage: Eukaryota; Viridiplantae; Streptophyta; Magnoliopsida; Malvales; Malvaceae. The record is from RNAcentral.